This 421-nucleotide ribosomal RNA is filed under the name uncultured Cytophagaceae bacterium. Its description in RNAcentral is "bacterial SSU rRNA". It matches the Rfam family "Bacterial small subunit ribosomal RNA", at positions 353 to 772 of the family's 1533-position model. The record is from RNAcentral. Lineage: Bacteria; Pseudomonadati; Bacteroidota; Cytophagia; Cytophagales; Cytophagaceae.
AGUAGGGAAUAUUGGACAAUGGGUGAGAGCCUGAUCCAGCCAUGCCGCGUGCAGGAAGAAGGCGUUAUGCGUUGUAAACUGCUUUAGCCAGGGGAUAAAACGGCUCUGCGGAGCUAAUUGAAGGUACCUGGAUAAUAAGCCACGGCUAACUACGUGCCAGCAGCCGCGGUAAUACGUAGGUGGCAAGCGUUGUCCGGAUUUAUUGGGUUUAAAGGGUGCGUAGGCGGCCCUGUAAGUCAGUGCUGAAAUAUCCCGGCUUAACCGGGAGGGUGGCAUUGAUACUGCAGGGCUUGAGUACAGAUGAAGUAGGCGGAAUUGACGGUGUAGCGGUGAAAUGCAUAGAUAUCGUCAAGAACACCGAUAGCGAAGGCAGCUUACUAAGCUGUAACUGACGCUGAGGCACGAAAGUGUGGGGAUCAAA